RNAcentral lists this ribosomal RNA (139 nucleotides) under uncultured bacterium. RNAcentral's name for it is "partial 16S ribosomal RNA". It matches the Rfam family "Bacterial small subunit ribosomal RNA", at positions 355 to 509 of the family's 1533-position model. The record is from RNAcentral.
UGAGGAAUAUUGGUCAAUGGACGAGAGUCUGAACCAGCCAAGUAGCGUGAAGGAUGAAGGUCCUACGGAUUGUAAACUGCUUUAGACAGGGAAGAAACAAGACAGUACCUGUAGAAUAAGCUCCGGCUAACUACGUGCC